RNAcentral lists this transfer RNA (69 nucleotides) under Pseudis fusca. RNAcentral's name for it is "tRNA-Val". It matches the Rfam family "tRNA". From Rfam's summary of the family: Transfer RNA (tRNA) molecules are approximately 80 nucleotides in length. Their secondary structure includes four short double-helical elements and three loops (D, anti-codon, and T loops). Lineage: Eukaryota; Metazoa; Chordata; Amphibia; Anura; Hylidae. The record is from RNAcentral.
CAAGAUAUAGCUUAAUUAAAGCNUCUCNCUUACACCGAGAACAUGCCCGUUAAACUCGAGCUAUUUUGA